UCUUCUUCUCCAAGCAAAGGUUCCUAAAAAUCCGGUCCUUAGCAUCUUCUUCGGUGGUGUGGCGUGAAAAUAGGGAUGAGAACCUUGGUCUCCAAGCUAUGGCGGUUGCGAGAAGUUUAAUUCUUCCUUCUUAAGUUAGCGGUUGAUACAAGGAAGGAGAAGAUAUUUUCAGUAACGCAGAGUCCAACCUUUUUUUGGCGUUGUCUUAGAAUUGGUGGUCGCGCCUUAGCUUUUAAUCGCCUGUUUGUGUUUUACUUGCUUUGGGCUUAUCAUCCUUUUUACUCUAAUUGGGCUUAUUGGAUAUUUUCUUAAGCCCAUUGCCCAGUCCACAGCCCCCCAAGCACGAAAUCCAAAGGAAUGAAGUGCUUGAGUAUGAUUUGAAUUUUCCCUCUAAAAUUUGUAGCGCGGGAACAGUUUCAUCACGUUUCUCCC
RNAcentral lists this long non-coding RNA (432 nucleotides) under Trifolium pratense (red clover). RNAcentral's name for it is "long non-coding RNA (TPRA_LNC007373)". Lineage: Eukaryota; Viridiplantae; Streptophyta; Magnoliopsida; Fabales; Fabaceae. The record is from RNAcentral.